GUCCAGUUCUCAACUCUUCCGAACAGAGAUCCAGACUCAGAGUGUUUCCCAUUAAAUCCUGCCCAGCUGCCAGCAGCCCCGCGUGUGAGCAGCUACCGUGGCUGGCCGGGCCUGGGGAAGGUCCUGCUCAGAGGGGCAGCAGGCAUCAGGCGGUGUGGGGCCCUCCUCCACAGCGGGAUCGAAACCAACGUCUGUGCGUUUCUGAGCUGAUAAAAGCGCCGCCGCUUCAAGUGGCAGGCGUCAGUGGCAAGGCGUUUUGUUUCAUCCGUGUAGGUACGAACACGUGUUCGGAGUAACCUGGGUUCACUGCAUCUCUUUAACGGUCUGCCAGGCUCCCUGCAGCUCUCUUUAAGCUUGCAAGGCACACGCAGGUGUGACAGAGCGCUCCCUAGUGCGGCGUUCAGCGGAUGGGCGUGAGAGCUUAAUGAUUUUUUUCUCACCCGCAUCAACUCGUAUCGAGAAGCAAAAGGUAUCGCUUCUUCCUACAGACCUCACCGAACGCAGCGAGUGGGGUACCUAAGUAAAACUGCAGCAGCGAUGCAGUUUAACGCCCCCCUUUUGAUCCUUCAGACUGUGUAAGGUGAAUUUCCUGCCUUUUGAAUGACUUCAGUCAGCCGUGGCAGUUGUGCCCGGGCUCAGCUGCGCAGUGGCUGAAAGACGAUGGGGUUUCCAGCGGCACCUGGGGGAGGGAGGUUGGUCAGCUCCUGGGCUCAUGUGUCAGGCUCUCGUCUGAAACUUAGAAACGGCAGCUUUCCAGUGUGCACGUGGCCCGAAGUGCCGUGCUUAACGCUCGCUGCUCUUUGUGCAGGUGUUCCUGCUCGCCACGGAGACUGCUGAGUCUGCGCCCUGUCCCAGGCCGAGCACUGAACUCACCCGGACAGAGCUGCCUGAUGGGGUCAGACUGCAGGUGGCUGAACUGAAGGUCUCUGCGUGAUGGUGAGAGUGCUGCCCUUGCGGUUCCCUUUGGUUAUAUCUGCGUGGUCUCUAGGUUAUAGGAGGUAAUUUUGUCUAAGUAGAUGGU
Cygnus atratus (black swan) is the source of this 1021-nucleotide long non-coding RNA. RefSeq lists it as uncharacterized. The record is from RefSeq and is a predicted model, not a curated record. Lineage: Eukaryota; Metazoa; Chordata; Aves; Anseriformes; Anatidae. The transcript has 3 exons.